This is a small nucleolar RNA of Gadus morhua (Atlantic cod), 216 nucleotides long. Its record names the gene U3. It matches the Rfam family "Small nucleolar RNA U3". From Rfam's summary of the family: Small nucleolar RNAs (snoRNAs) are involved in the processing and modification of rRNA in the nucleolus. There are two main classes of snoRNAs: the box C/D class, and the box H/ACA class. U3 snoRNA is a member of the box C/D class. NCBI's taxonomy places the organism in Eukaryota, Metazoa, Chordata, Actinopteri, Gadiformes, Gadidae. The record is from Ensembl.
AAGAUCAUACUUUCAGGGAUCAUUUCUAUAGUUUUUGACUUGAGAAAUAUCGUACGAAAGUGAUCGGUUACUCUAACCACGAUGAAGAGUAUUGAUGUUCCCUUCUGAGCGCGAAGCGGGCAGCGAGUAAUGAUUAAUUUCAUCCGCUCGUUGUCAUUGAUGACCGUUCCUUGCUCCCUAGUGGAGCCUGGAGGUAGGGAACAUGAUCAGAGUGGU